Molecule: long non-coding RNA, 1838 nt
Filed under: Coffea arabica (coffee)
Lineage: Eukaryota; Viridiplantae; Streptophyta; Magnoliopsida; Gentianales; Rubiaceae
Description: long non-coding RNA (CARA_LNC002126)
Source: RNAcentral
AUCAUUAAUGUCAAUAUUGAGAUAUAGCAAAAUUUGUAUACGAAAUAACAAAUCAAUUUGUCAUUACAAAUACAAAACGAGCAACAAUAUAUUACAAUCAAUACUAUCAACAGUACAAAGCACAAAGAUACUCAAAUCAAAUCCUAAUUAGGCUUUAAUAUGUACAACCAAAAUUGUUAGGGAUAACAAAUGCUAAGAUAGACCCUGUGCCGAUAUACAAUGAGUAUCAUGUUUGCAUUAAUUGGUGAAGUCCAUAAUCGAAGUAGCUUGUAAGAGCUUCAUUGCCAGGUUUACUACAAUCCACCAUCAACCUACAGAGUCCAAUGGAAAAAAAAUUAUUAAACAGAAAUUUACAUUGGUAGUUAGAUAAAUUAAACCUGCAUUAGCCUACAUAUAUCAACUAAGACAUUGAUCCUCAUAUUGUUGCAUGAAAAGAAAUGAAAAUGAGAGACUUUAAAAGAAAUGCAAAGGAACACUUUUAUUAACCACAAGUACAAAAUGUGAACUGAAUUUCAAACUACAAGUUGGUAGCAUGUCUUAAGAUGAAUAAAGCAUUAUGACCCCAAUUGACAUGAAACCAAUUGUAAAGUAAUGCCAAGGUUGUUUCCUUUAACACAAAAAUAGUAAAUGCAUUCACCCAUUGCAGCUCAUUCAAAAUUGAGAAGUAGCUAAGCAAGCGUAACAUUCGAACUUGGAAAGCAUGAAAUGAACUUGGAAAAAGGAAUUAGAUUUUACUGCCAACAAGGCUUCCAAGGUGCAAAUAGCCAAUGAGAUCCUUUUUUUCUAAUCCUUAUUAUUUUUGUCCAGUAUGUUCACUUAAAAGAAAACUAUAUUCUAUUUACUAGAUCUUUAGUUAAGAAAUAAACAAAAAAUUAAAUCAUCAAAAAGCAAAAAGAUCAAAGGCAUUAAAACUUGCACAAACAUUCAGGAGGAGGAGAAGUUAUCACCUAAGAGAAUCACAUGCAACGCAAUGAAAGUAUUAGAAUUAGCCCAAAGGAAGGGAAAAAAUAUGCUUCACGAAUGGUCCUACAACACCAACACACAAAACAAUAAAUUAUGAUGAACCACCACAAACCAGUCCAAAGACAAGUAAAAUCACCUAUACCAUCAAUCCUAAUCACCAACCGGAGUAGAAAAUCAUCCAAAAUUUAAGUUAAGUCACCGAAUAAAUAAGGCUUAAAUCUUAGAACAUGUCAUAAUCAGUGUUUAGCAUUCAAAAAUUGUGUAAGAUACAGGGGGUUUGGAACAACAAAAGGGGACAACUAGGGCUGGGCAACGAGAGGUACAGAGGAAUCGGAGCGAGAGUGGUAAAGAGAGGAGAUUGAACAAUACGACAAAGCAGGGGAAAAAUCAAAUCGUGGAAGGAAGAAUUGGGGAAAAAUCAAAUCGUGAAAGGAAGAAUUCUAGCAUGAAAAUAUGUUGGAGACUACCUGAAAUCUUAGAUCUUAAAUUUUGACGGGCCGUUUUCAUUUUGCCUUCCAGUAAGACCCUUUUCUCUACUCCAACUGAGAUGCCUAUUCACUCUAAUCCACUAAAGUAGAAGCCUACAAUUUCAAAAAGUUUAUCUUGCGAUUGUUAAAUUGACCAAAAAUGCAAGAAAAAGCAAUUGACAAAACAGAGAUGAAAAUAACAUAUUAAAAAACCUACACCAUCGCUUUUCCUUGAAGUCUGUCAUUGCAUCGGAAGGGUUUUUAAAGUGUGUCCAUGAUUGUAUAAAUUCAGAUCUGGAUGCUAGAGAGGAAGAGGGGAACCAUAUGUCUACGGGAAACUGAAAAUUGAUAGAGAGGGAAAAAGAGAUAGAAGGAGAAAGGUGCAGGGGAGGUUGCGAUUGAACUUUC